This is a long non-coding RNA of Myotis davidii, 492 nucleotides long. RefSeq lists it as uncharacterized. The record is from RefSeq and is a predicted model, not a curated record. Lineage: Eukaryota; Metazoa; Chordata; Mammalia; Chiroptera; Vespertilionidae. The transcript is spliced from 2 exons.
UAACGGGCUGAGGGAAGUGCAGGGAGUGUAAACAUGGUCAAAACAGGUGAAACUCACAAGAACUGUCACUAUGGUAACCACUGCAUUGUUUACCUCAGACUAUAAAAGGUCGGUGUGGACUGAGCACGGGUGGAAGUCCUUCCUCUUGAGUUGGACUUACCUGCCUGGUCCCCCAAUAUUUCCAAAUUAUCUCUUGUCUUUCCUAUUUCAUUUGUGUGCGGCUCCUCUUCCAGAUGUUGAACCCUGAACCACGCGGGACGUGGAGGGGAACAUUUAUGACAUCUGGCGCCCGAGGGGGACUCUGGAAGUGAAUGUUUCGCUAGAGCGAAAAAACAAAGUUUCACUGGCAAAGUGAGGAACAAAGAAUUCACCGUAAAGAUAUUGAACCCUAAACCACGCGGGAUGUGGAGGGAAACAUUUACGACAACCCAGUGAGAAAAUUUUGAAGGGAAACACUGAAAAAUAGAAGCAAGAAAUUUUCUAAACCAUUUU